AGAGCGAACGCUGGCGGCGUGCUUAACACAUGCAAGUCGAGUGCGCGUCCGUAGCAAUACGGAUGGCGCACGGCGCACGGGUGCGUAACACGUGGGCAACCUGCCCUUUGGAUGGGGGAUAACCCCGCGAAAGCGGGGCUAAUACCGCAUGACAUUCAGGAGACUUCGGUCUUUUGAUUCAAAGCCCGCAAGGGCGUCUAAGGAGGGGCCCGCGCCCGAUUAGCUAGUUGGUGAAGUAACGGCUCACCAAGGCAAUGAUCGGUAGCCGGUCUGAGAGGAUGGCCGGCCACACUGGAACUGAGACACGGUCCAGACUCCUACGGGAGGCAGCAGUGGGGAAUAUUGCGCAAUGGGCGAAAGCCUGACGCAGCGACGCCGCGUGGGGAUGAAGCUUCUCGGAGUGUAAACCCCUUUCGACCCGGACGAAUGACCCGCAAGGGUUUGACGGUACGGGUAUAAGAAGCCCGGCUAACUACGCGCCAGCAGCCGCGGU
Molecule: ribosomal RNA, 493 nt
Filed under: uncultured bacterium
Lineage: Bacteria
Description: SSU rRNA
Rfam family: Bacterial small subunit ribosomal RNA
Source: RNAcentral